GAUCCUGGCUCAGGAUGAACGCUGGCGGCGUGCUUAACACAUGCAAGGUCGAACGGAGUUUAGAUGAAAGCUUGCUUUGACUAAACUAGUGGCGGACGGGUGAGUAACGCGUGGGUAACCUGCCUUAUACAGGGGGAUAACAGUCGGAAACGACUGCUAAUACCGCAUAAGCGCACGGAAUCGCAUGAUUCAGUGUGAAAAGAUUUAUCGGUAUAAGAUGGACCCGCGUCUGAUUAGCUAGUUGGUGAGGUAACGGCCCACCAAGGCGACGAUCAGUAGCCGGCCUGAGAGGGUGAACGGCCACAUUGGGACUGAGACACGGCCCAAACUCCUACGGGAGGCAGCAGUGGGGAAUAUUGCACAAUGGGGGAAACCCUGAUGCAAGCGACGCCGCGUGAGUGAAGAAGUAUUUCGGUAUGUAAAGCUCUAUCAGCAGGGAAGAAAAUGACGGUACCUGACUAAGAAGCCCCGGCUAACUACGUGCCAGCAGCUGC
RNAcentral lists this ribosomal RNA (494 nucleotides) under uncultured bacterium. Its description in RNAcentral is "bacterial SSU rRNA". It matches the Rfam family "Bacterial small subunit ribosomal RNA", at positions 15 to 518 of the family's 1533-position model. The record is from RNAcentral.